AACGAACGCUGGCGGCAUGCCUAACACAUGCAAGUCGAACGAGACCUUCGGGUCUAGUGGCGCACGGGUGCGUAACGCGUGGGAAUCUGCCCUUGGGUUCGGGAUAACAGUUGGAAACGACUGCUAAUACCGGAUGAUGUCUUCGGACCAAAGAUUUACCGCCCAAGGAUGAGCCCGCGUAGGAUUAGCUUGUUGGUGAGGUAAGAGCUCACCAAGGCGACGAUCCUUAGCUGGUCUGAGAGGAUGAUCAGCCACACUGGGACUGAGACACGGCUCAGACUCCUACGGGAGACAGCAGUGGGGAAUAUUGGACAAUGGGCGAAAGCCUGAUCCAGCAAUGCCGCGUGAGUGAUGAAGGCCUUAGGGUUGUAAAGCUCUUUUACCCGGGAUGAUAAUGACAGUACCGGGAGAAUAAGCCCCGGCUAACUCCGUGCCAGCCGCCGCCGUAA
Molecule: ribosomal RNA, 449 nt
Filed under: uncultured bacterium
Lineage: Bacteria
Description: partial 16S ribosomal RNA
Rfam family: Bacterial small subunit ribosomal RNA
Source: RNAcentral